GAAAGACACUAAAAGAGAACUGUGAGGCUUUGAGAUCUAUUAAAGUGGAAAAGGAAGCUGAAUUAAAAAUGUUGAAGAUGAACAUAGGCGUGACUGAUGAACUCUUUGGACAAAGCAAGAUGGUCAUAGACAAGAAGCUGAGAAUGAAAGAACGUGAGAGGGUGGAAAAGGAGAAGCAGCUCUCUCAUCAGCAGAAAAGAAGGUGAAAUUGGCUGCAGAAGAAAUGCAGCGCUGCAAGUGAGUUCAGCUUCUGACCGUCAGCAACUUAUAACACCCUUGCUGGAUUUAAACUUUUGUACAAUGUUGAGACCCAAUUCAUAUACAAAUACAAACAAAUGUUCAGAAGACAUUUAUAUAGAGAUUUCCCUCAAGAAUGAACAAUGUUAAGUUUUACAAAUGUCAAGUUAAAAUAUUAACUUAAAAAAAAUGAAGUUCCGAAAAAUUUCCUGAUCCUUAAUGCUGGCCAGACUGUGUGGAAACGUGGUUCACAAAAAUGUUUCUGGAGGAGGUAAAAAUUGUUAGAAACCUUAGGGAAGCAGUUUGGUGUCAGACGAAUCUCAUCAAUAAAUAUGUGCAUGCCACUUUAGAGACCCAGUUGUUGUAGUCCUGAGGAACAUGAUCAGGAUAGAAGGAAAAGAAGAAUCGAGCUGUAUGAUGAAAGGUACUCAUUGCAGGAUAAAUUAGGGAGAUACUGAGAAUCAGCAAGGGAAUUCUAUCAACUGAGAAGCUGGCAGGCAUUCGAUAAUAAAUAAGGAAACAAAGCAGCAAUCGCUUUGAUCCUACUUACUUUUGUAACCUCAUGAAAUGUGUCUUAUAGGAUUGGAUGAUAUGUAUAAGGGUACAGUUUGGAUAAUGGGAACAUGGACAGAUUAUUUAAAAUCAUCCUCAAUAUUGUGCUUUAUCUGAUGAAAGCAAUUGUCACUCAUAGGCAACAAACUGAUCAAAUGCGGCAACAGGUGCAGCAAGUAGAGUCCACCUUCAGACACCAGGUAACCUGCAUUCUGCCCAAAGCUCCUGGAUCCUUCAGCACCCAAUGCAGAGGGUUACAAUGGCCCUUGGAAGCCCUAACAUAGGGUUUUUAACCUGUUGGCUUUUCAGAUCGCUGUGCAUGAGAAGAAUGCUCAAGAUAGUUGGAUCAAGGCUCGGAUUUUGGAGAGGGAGAUAGUGGAGCAGAGCAGGGAAGCCGCUCACUUGAAACACAGAUUGGAGAUAAUGUCCCAAAAGAGGCUUCCUGAGGGAUACAGGCCGUACGAACCAAUGUUGCAAAGACCUGGGAUGCAGAACCCUGCACAGAGAGGACGAUGAUUUUGAAAGAGGAGCCUGAGCCGUGAUAAAAGGCUAUGGCAAUUGAUUAUGGUUUUCCCUGCCCAAUCCUGCCUCCUCCACUUUUAUCUUUCCUAUUGUCUCCCCUAAUACACCCUUUAUGGUUCUAACUCAGUGUCAGCGUCUGCUUUUUGGAGGACCAACCGACUCACUCCAGGGAGUGUACACAGUGUGAGUCUUGUACGCGCAGUUCAAAAACAGGCAGAAACCAUGGGAAUGAGGCAGAAGCAAGGUUAUUUUGGGAGGGG
Molecule: long non-coding RNA, 1571 nt
Organism: Equus asinus (donkey)
Lineage: Eukaryota; Metazoa; Chordata; Mammalia; Perissodactyla; Equidae
Source: Ensembl